AUUGAACGCUGGCGGCAGGCCUAACACAUGCAAGUCGAACGAGUGGCGGACGGGUGAGUAAUGUCUGGGAAACUGCCUGAUGGAGGGGGAUAACUACUGGAAACGGUAGCUAAUACCGCAUACCCUCGGAUGAGCCCAGAUGGGAUUAGCUAGUCGGUGGGGUAAAGGCUCACCUAGGCGACGAUCCCUAGCUGGUCUGAGAGGAUGACCAGCCACACUGGAACUGAGACACGGUCCAGACUCCUACGGGAGUCAGCAUGGGGGAAUAUUGCACAGUUGGCGCAAGCCUGAUGCAGCCAUGCCGCGUGUAUGAAGAAGUCCGUUGGGUUUUAAAUUACUUUCAGCGGGGAUGCGUUACCCGCAGAAGAAGCACCGGCUAACUCCGUGCCAGCAGCCGCGGUAAUUC
Molecule: ribosomal RNA, 406 nt
Filed under: uncultured bacterium
Lineage: Bacteria
Description: partial 16S ribosomal RNA
Rfam family: Bacterial small subunit ribosomal RNA
Source: RNAcentral